Daphnia pulex (common water flea) is the source of this 72-nucleotide non-coding RNA. Lineage: Eukaryota; Metazoa; Arthropoda; Branchiopoda; Diplostraca; Daphniidae. The record is from Rfam.
UCCUCGGUAGUAUAGCGGUAAGUAUCCCCGCCUGUCACGCGGGAGACCGGGGUUCAAUUCCCCGCCGGGGAG